Molecule: small RNA, 105 nt
Filed under: Arabidopsis thaliana (thale cress)
Lineage: Eukaryota; Viridiplantae; Streptophyta; Magnoliopsida; Brassicales; Brassicaceae
Description: ATSL176080
Source: RNAcentral
AAAUUUUUAUUUCUAAUGGCAUACCUAUGCAAUUACUUACAAAAAUUAAGGUUACAUUUAAAAUGUACUUCCCAAAUAAUAUAGUAGGAUAUUCAAAUGUGUAAC